GUGGCCAUCACAAUUGUCAUCGUCGAAGAAGAUGCCAAUCAAUCCACGGGACUAACGUAGGGCCUUAAAGGAAGAUGAUCGAUCAGAAUUGAGUUGGAGAAGGGCGAUGUAAGGAUGUACCAUCUGGAUCUCGGUGGAGCCGUCGUCAAAGAAGGUGGACGCACUGAUUCGGUAGUUUUUGAAGGUCGUCAAAGCCCUGACAGAAUUCUUGAGGGAGAG
RNAcentral lists this long non-coding RNA (219 nucleotides) under Elaeis guineensis (African oil palm). RNAcentral describes it as "long non-coding RNA (EGUI_LNC019728)". The record is from RNAcentral. Lineage: Eukaryota; Viridiplantae; Streptophyta; Magnoliopsida; Arecales; Arecaceae.